UACGUAGGCGGAAGAUUAAGUCAGCGGUGAAAUCCUGCAGCUUAACUGUAGAACUGUCAUUGAUACUGGUUUUCUUGAAUUUAGUUGAGGUAGGCGGAAUGUGUAAUGUAGCGGUGAAAUGCUUAGAUAUUACACAGAACACCGAUUGCGAAGGCAGCUUACUAAACUAUGAUUGACGCUGAGGUACGAAAGCGUGGGGAGCGAACAGGAUUAGAUACCCUGGUAGUCC
RNAcentral lists this ribosomal RNA (229 nucleotides) under uncultured bacterium. Its description in RNAcentral is "partial 16S ribosomal RNA". It matches the Rfam family "Bacterial small subunit ribosomal RNA", at positions 568 to 796 of the family's 1533-position model. The record is from RNAcentral.